Long non-coding RNA from Strongylocentrotus purpuratus (purple sea urchin), 308 nucleotides. RefSeq lists it as uncharacterized. NCBI's taxonomy places the organism in Eukaryota, Metazoa, Echinodermata, Echinoidea, Camarodonta, Strongylocentrotidae. The transcript is spliced from 2 exons. The record is from RefSeq and is a predicted model, not a curated record.
GCAUUAAAAAAUUUCGCAGAAAGUACACAUUGCUCUUUAAUUAAUGUAUAUUUUUACCUUUAUAUUUCUUACUAUCUUUAACUCUUAAAGUGCCAUAGGUGGUCUUAACCAACCAAAUUUGUAUUUUGGUAUAUUUCUAUCUAUGAUCGUUGCCUACGAGAUUUUCUUCCUGAACUUCACCUGUGAAGUUUGAUAUCAAUCCAUACUUUUGCCAUGGAAGUUAAUAACAAAACUAUGAAUCAAGUCUAAGUUGUGAUACCUGUUUGUAAGCUUGGUGGUACAGUAAGAUGUAUCAUUCUUUAAAUUGA